CCUACGGGUGACAGCAGUGAGGAAUAUUGGUCAAUGGACGAGAGUCUGAACCAGCCAAGUAGCGUGAAGGAUGACUGCCCUAUGGGUUGUAAACUUCUUUUAUAUGGGAAUAAAAUGUUCCACGUGUGGGAUUUUGUAUGUACCAUAUGAAUAAGGAUCGGCUAACUCCGUGCCAGCAGCCGCGGUAAUACGGAGGAUCCGAGCGUUAUCCGGAUUUAUUGGGUUUAAAGGGAGCGUAGGUGGAUUGUUAAGUCAGUUGUGAAAGUUUGCGGCUCAACCGUAAAAUUGCAGUUGAAACUGGCAGUCUUGAGUACAGUAGAGGUGGGCGGAAUUCGUGGUGUAGCGGUGAAAUGCUGAGAUAUCACGAAGAACUCCGAUUGCGAAGGCAGUUCACUGGACUGCAACUGACACUGAGGCUCGAAAGUGUGGGUAUCAAACAGGAUUAGAUACCCGAGUAGUC
RNAcentral lists this ribosomal RNA (460 nucleotides) under uncultured bacterium. RNAcentral's name for it is "partial 16S ribosomal RNA". It matches the Rfam family "Bacterial small subunit ribosomal RNA", at positions 338 to 795 of the family's 1533-position model. The record is from RNAcentral.